This 72-nucleotide transfer RNA is filed under the name Phrynosoma platyrhinos (Desert horned lizard). RNAcentral's name for it is "tRNA-OTHER". The record is from RNAcentral. Lineage: Eukaryota; Metazoa; Chordata; Lepidosauria; Squamata; Phrynosomatidae.
GCCAGUAUGGUGUAGUGGUUUGAGCACUAGACUAUGACUUUGGAGACCAGGGUUCAAAUCCCCACUCAGGCA